This 328-nucleotide ribosomal RNA is filed under the name uncultured eukaryote. RNAcentral describes it as "partial 18S ribosomal RNA". It matches the Rfam family "Eukaryotic small subunit ribosomal RNA", at positions 1470 to 1796 of the family's 1831-position model. The record is from RNAcentral.
CCCUUAGAUGUCCUGGGCCGCACGCGCGUUACACUGAUGCAUUCAACGAGCCUAUAACCUUGGCCGAGAGGCCUGGGCAAUCUUGUUAACGUGCAUCGUGAUAGGGAUAGAUUAUUGAAAUUAUUAAUCUUGAACGAGGAAUUCCUAGUAAACGCAGAUCAUCAAUCUGCAUUGAUUACGUCCCUGCCCUUUGUACACACCGCCCGUCGCACCUACCGAUUGGACGGUCCGGUGAAGCCUCGGGAUUGUGGUUCUUGCCGCUUUAUUGUGGCGUGACCGCGAGAACUUGUCUAAACCUUAUCAUCUAGAGGAAGGUGAAGUCGUAACA